AGAGUUUGAUCCUGGCUCAGAACGAACGCUGGCGGCAGGCCUAACACAUGCAAGUCGAACGGGAUCUUCGGAUCUAGUGGCGGACGGGUGAGUAACGCGUGGGAACGUACCCUUUGGUUCGGAAUAGCCCUGGGAAACUGGGAGUAAUACCGGAUACGGUCGAGAGACGAAAGAUUUAUCGCCGAAGGAUCGGCCCGCGUUGGAUUAGGUAGUUGGUGGGGUAAUGGCCUACCAAGCCGACGAUCCAUAGCUGGUUUGAGAGGAUGAUCAGCCACACUGGGACUGAGACACGGCCCAGACUCCUACGGGAGGCAGCAGUGGGGAAUCUUAGACAAUGGGGGAAACCCUGAUCUAGCCAUGCCGCGUGAGCGAUGAAGGCCUUAGGGUUGUAAAGCUCUUUCGUGGGGGAAGAUAAUGACUGUACCCCAAGAAGAAGCCCCGGCUAACUCCGUGCCAGCAGCCGCGGUAAUACGGAGGGGGCUAGCGUUGUUCGGAAUUACUGGGCGUAAAGCGCACGUAGGCGGACCGGAAAGUCAGAGGUGAAAUCCCAGGGCUCAACCUUGGAACUGCCUUUGAAACUCCUGGUCUUGA
RNAcentral lists this ribosomal RNA (591 nucleotides) under uncultured bacterium. RNAcentral describes it as "bacterial SSU rRNA". It matches the Rfam family "Bacterial small subunit ribosomal RNA", at positions 8 to 645 of the family's 1533-position model. The record is from RNAcentral.